Dipodomys ordii (Ord's kangaroo rat) is the source of this 77-nucleotide non-coding RNA. The record is from Rfam. Lineage: Eukaryota; Metazoa; Chordata; Mammalia; Rodentia; Heteromyidae.
ACCACUGAGCCACCUUCCCAGCCCCCACAUUUUUUUUUUUAAUAAUUUCUCUUGGGCUAGGAAGGUGGCUCAGUGGU